This 253-nucleotide ribosomal RNA is filed under the name uncultured bacterium. Its description in RNAcentral is "partial 16S ribosomal RNA". It matches the Rfam family "Bacterial small subunit ribosomal RNA", at positions 524 to 776 of the family's 1533-position model. The record is from RNAcentral.
CACGUAGGGCGCAAGCGUUGUCCGGAAUUAUUGGGCGUAAAGAGCUCGUAGGCGGUCUGUUGCGUCUGCUGUGAAAACCCGGGGCUUAACCCCUGGCUUGCAGUGGAUACGGACAGACUAGAGGUAGGUAGGGGAGAAUGGAAUUCCCGGUGUAGCGGUGAAAUGCGCAGAUAUCGGGAGGAACACCGGUGGCGAAGGCGGUUCUCUGGGCCGAUACUGACGCUGAGGAGCGAAAGCGUGGGGAGCGAACAGG